GAGUAACCUGCCCCCCUUCUCCUCCCCCAGAGGAAGAGGUGCCCGAACACAGCUGAUCCCGUGGGUCUGGCCGGAUUUUCCACCCGGACGCCUGGGUUCCUCGCCACCCAACGCUGGACACGUGAAUGGAGUUGGAAGUGUCGCCUGGCCCUUGAGAACCUGGGGGCCCCACUGAUUGCCAAUUGAUUUCUGCCCCCAACCCUGCUGCCCCCCAGGUUCACUGUCUCCUCUCACGCCCCCCGCGCCAUCCUGCCCAGGGCCGCACACCAAGGCAGGGAGCUAAGGACCCUGGGAAAUCGUCCCUUUCCCUCGCUGCCAUGCAGCGCCGAGCACCCGAGGCCGGGCCAUUGCUGCAAUACGGAUCAUAAAGAACCGUUUGUAAUCGUC
Chelonoidis abingdonii (Abingdon island giant tortoise) is the source of this 387-nucleotide long non-coding RNA. RefSeq lists it as uncharacterized. The record is from RefSeq and is a predicted model, not a curated record. NCBI's taxonomy places the organism in Eukaryota, Metazoa, Chordata, Testudines, Testudinidae.